CGAUAAUAUGUUUGUCGGUUCUACUAUACACUUCCAUUUCUGAGUUGUCGUUACUAUAAAUGAUAUAAUAAUUAUUUGUCUGCUAUUUAUAAUAAUGACUGUUUUAGGUGUAUACCUGUGUCUUAUUGAAUUGUUUGUAUACGUAUUGCACAGUUGAUCGACACAAAAAUGCAACGUUCAAGUACGUCCUUGAAUCUUAAAUAUAUAUUAUGUACAGUUAUGGAGUGAUGCCGAAUUAUCAUUUUUCUAAUUUGUUACGAAAUUAAAUUGUGUUGAUUUAUACCCUUCAUAUUAAAUCAAGUGGACGUAAUUAAUUUUUGAAUUCGUUAGCAUAUAAGUAUGUUUUUACAUUUUUGUUUGAUACUAUAUAUAUAUAUAUAAAUAUGUAUGACGAUUUUUUAUCGUUAUUAUACUUACCUGUUUACAAUUUUCGAUUAGGUAAAAUUAGAUAAAAUCUGAAGUGUAUACCAACGAAAAUGUCACUGUGGCGUAUGCAAGUCGGAAAAAAGUAUUAUGUUAAUUGUGUAAUUUAAAUUUGUCGACCGUGGAUUAGGAGUUAUGGUACCGUAAAUAAGAUGUAUACAAUUCUCUUGUGCGCUUAUAGUAAACUAUAUUGCGAUGUCCUUCAAAUAAUUUAAUACACACGAAUGAUAAUAUAUUAUGUGUAUACAAUAUAUUAUAUCGAGUGUAUCCCGAACAAAUAUACAAAAAUAAUAUUGUAUAGAACGUGGCAAAUACAAUAAAUUUAAACGUAUCCUAUAUGUAUAGACGAUAUUUUAU
Molecule: non-coding RNA, 780 nt
Organism: Cinara cedri
Lineage: Eukaryota; Metazoa; Arthropoda; Insecta; Hemiptera; Aphididae
Source: the annotation of a GenBank genome assembly